RNAcentral lists this long non-coding RNA (338 nucleotides) under Equus asinus (donkey). Its description in RNAcentral is "lncRNA (ENSEASG00005024143.1)". The record is from RNAcentral. Lineage: Eukaryota; Metazoa; Chordata; Mammalia; Perissodactyla; Equidae.
GCUUGCUCUGUGGCUUUGCCCCAACCAGCUGUGCGACCUUGGGGAAGUCACUUAAGCUCUCUGGAUUUCCCCAUCUAUAAAAAGUGGCAGAAAUUCAGACCACUUCUCAGAGACUUCCAGGAACUUGGAGAAACACAGCUUCCCCGAGGGAGAGCCAAGAGCCCAGUGACAUUUCCUGUCAAAUGUCCAAGGCGAACUCCAGGUCCAGAGUGUCAGCCCUGGUAUGUGGCACUGCGAUCAGCCGUUGGAAGGAUUAUCUGCCACUUGUUUCCAGUGCUUUCCCAGUAGCCUUCUGAAAGCCAGCGGGGGUUCCGCCUGGUCAGAAAAGACCUCUUUCA